This 266-nucleotide ribosomal RNA is filed under the name uncultured bacterium. RNAcentral describes it as "partial 16S ribosomal RNA". It matches the Rfam family "Bacterial small subunit ribosomal RNA", at positions 793 to 1055 of the family's 1533-position model. The record is from RNAcentral.
GUCCAUGCUGUAAACGAUGGAUGCUAGGUGUUCGGGGAGUUGACCCCCCGAGUGCCGAAGUCAACACAUUAAGCAUCCCGCCUGGGAAGUACGGUCGCAAGACUAAAACUCAAAGGAAUUGACGGGGGCCCGCACAAGCGGUGGAGCAUGUGGUUCAAUUCGACGCAACGCGAAGAACCUUACCUAGGCUUGACAUGUCCGGAACCCUCUUGAAAGAGAGGGGUGCCCGCAAGGGAGCCGGAACACAGGUGCUGCAUGGCUGUCGU